ACGAACGCUGGCGGCGUGGAUAAGACAUGCAAGUCGAACGGGACUUUCAGCUGUAGCAAUACAGUUGAAAGUUUAGUGGCGAGCGGGUGCGUAACACGUGGGCAAUCUGCCGAGAAGUGGGGGAUAGCUCGCCGAAAGGCGAAUUAAUACCGCAUGUGGUGAGGAGGGACAUCCCUCUGAAUCCAAAGCCGGGGCAACCUGGCGCUUUUUGAGGAGCCCGCGGCCUACAGCUAGUUGGUGAGGUAACGGCUCACCAAGGCUAUGGACGGGUAGCUGGUCUGAGAGGACGACCAGUCACACUGGAACUGAGACACGGUCCAGACACCUACGGGUGGCAGCAGUCGAGUAAUUUUUCUCAAGUGGGGAAACCCUGAAGGAGCGACGCCGCGUGGAGGAUGAAGG
This 402-nucleotide ribosomal RNA is filed under the name uncultured bacterium. Its description in RNAcentral is "bacterial SSU rRNA". It matches the Rfam family "Bacterial small subunit ribosomal RNA", at positions 29 to 414 of the family's 1533-position model. The record is from RNAcentral.